This 70-nucleotide transfer RNA is filed under the name Cavia porcellus (domestic guinea pig). It matches the Rfam family "tRNA". Rfam says of the family: Transfer RNA (tRNA) molecules are approximately 80 nucleotides in length. Their secondary structure includes four short double-helical elements and three loops (D, anti-codon, and T loops). Further hydrogen bonds mediate the characteristic L-shaped molecular structure. tRNAs have two regions of fundamental functional importance: the anti-codon, which is responsible for specific mRNA codon recognition, and the 3' end, to which the tRNAs corresponding amino acid is attached (by aminoacyl-tRNA synthetases). tRNAs cope with the degeneracy of the genetic code in two manners: having more than one tRNA (with a specific anti-codon) for a particular amino acid; and 'wobble' base-pairing, i.e. permitting non-standard base-pairing at the 3rd anti-codon position. Lineage: Eukaryota; Metazoa; Chordata; Mammalia; Rodentia; Caviidae. The record is from Rfam by way of RNAcentral.
UGGGAUAUAGCUCAGUGGCACAGUGCCUGUCUGGUAAGCAGAAGGUCAUGAGUUCGAUUCCCAGUACCAA